Carassius gibelio (silver crucian carp) is the source of this 1192-nucleotide long non-coding RNA. RefSeq lists it as uncharacterized. NCBI's taxonomy places the organism in Eukaryota, Metazoa, Chordata, Actinopteri, Cypriniformes, Cyprinidae. The transcript has 4 exons. The record is from RefSeq and is a predicted model, not a curated record.
UGUGCAGUUUAUAGGGAACGUGAGUAUUUCCCACUAGGCUGUUAGUACCAGAUUUAUGCAUAAAUCUAUUUAACCAGCCUUUGAGUUCUUAAGCACUAUAUAAAGAAACCCUGAGGACUGCGUCUUUUACUGUUUGCAGAUACUGCUAACUUUGCACCUUAUGACUUGUAAAAAGUGAAUGUCAGGAACAUUUACUGCUUACUCCAGAAUAGGAAUGUUGUACUUCAAGAAGAAGAUCAGAUAGAAGAUAUAAAAGAGAUACGACAAGAGAAAUUUCCUGUAGAAAUCAGUGGCACGUGCAGCAUAGAGGACUGGCCAGUUCCCUCAGCGCCUUGCCCUGGGUCCAUUCAUGCAAGUGGCCCUUGAAAUGACUGUUAUGGUUCAGAGGAUUCAGUAGAGAGUGCAGACCAGGAAUUUAAAUGAGAAAAAUGUGUGGUUGUUUAGAAGAUUUAAAAAGUCUGACACUAGAGAUUUGAAGCUCGUCUCUGUUGUUAAGGGAUGGGACACUGCGAGUGUGGGAUGAGAAGGCGGGAUCGUGCAGGCUAGCCGUCCCAGUGCACAGGGCUGAAAUCCUCAGCUGUGAUUGGUGCAAAUAUGACCAGCCGUGGACUGCAGUCUCUGAGUUCGGGACCUACCGAACGUCCGACAUCCUGUAGCUCAAAUGAUGGGCCAUUCCUACGCCAUCCGCAGAGUAAAGUUCUACCCAUUUUAUAAGACCAUCUUAGCAUCCUGCUCAUAUGAUUUCACAGUCAGGUUGUGGACUGCUCUUGGGAUGAGACUGUAAAAGUCUUCAUCCCUUCAUGCCUGGCUGCCCUACAGGAGGUCAGUGCACUAUGAGAAAAUGUUGCUGCAAGGCACAGGGGAGCCACGGAUCUGUUUCAAUCACAGAUGCAAAGUUUGCCAAGAUUUCACUGUGGUUUUCGUAAUGUCACUAUUAAAGGAGAACCCGUGGGAUGGAUCAGGAGCACCGUGCGGAUGAGAGGGAAUCUCAUGCUGUCACUGAAUGUAAAAACUGAGUGUGGCAUUAUUAUAAUGUUUCUUAAGUAUAAAAUCAAACUAAAAGUGAGUUUACCUUAAGCAAUGAGGUGCCUUUUUGUUGUCUAAAGCUCACUGGUAGAUCAUGUUGUAUGUGUAUGUUGUUGUUAUUCACUGGUUUGUUAAACUUAUAUUAAUAAAUCAAUGCAAUCUGUCA